GACGAACGCUGGCGGCGUGCUUAACACAUGCAAGUCGAACGGAAAGGCUCCAGCUUGCUGGAGUACUCGAGUGGCGAACGGGUGAGUAACACGUGGGUAAUCUGCCCUGCACUCUGGGAUAAGCCUGGGAAACUGGGUCUAAUACUGGAUAUGACCUUUCUCCUUAUGGGGUUUGGUGGAAAGUUUUUCGGUGUAGGAUGAGCCCGCGGCCUAUCAGCUUGUUGGUGGGGUGAUGGCCUACCAAGGCGACGACGGGUAGCCGGCCUGAGAGGGUGAUCGGCCACAUUGGGACUGAGAGACGGCGCAGACUCCUACGGGAGGCAGCAGUGGGGAAUAUUGCACAAUGGGCGGAAGCCUGAUGCAGCGACGCCGCGUGAGGGAUGACGGCCUUCGGGUUGUAAACCUCUUUCAGCAGGGACGAAGCGUAAGUGACGGUACCUGCAGAAGAAGCACCGGCUAACUAUGUG
This 467-nucleotide ribosomal RNA is filed under the name uncultured bacterium. RNAcentral's name for it is "partial 16S ribosomal RNA". It matches the Rfam family "Bacterial small subunit ribosomal RNA", at positions 28 to 507 of the family's 1533-position model. The record is from RNAcentral.